GCUGGUUGAUCCUGCCAGUAGCAUAUGCUUGUCUCAAAAAUUAAGCCAUGCACGUAGUACACAUGGCCGGUACAGUGAAACUGCGAAUGGCUCAUUAAAUCAGUUAUGUUUACUUUGAUCGAUCCAUCUGUUACUUGGAUAACUGUUGUAAUUCUAGAGCUAAUACAUGCCGACGAGUGCUGACCUCCCGGGAUGCAUGCAUUUAUCAGACCAAGACCAAUCCGGGCUUGCCCGUACGCUUUGGUGACACUAGAUAACCUCGGGCUGAUCGCACGUCUACGUGCUGACGAAGAUGCAUUUGGAUGUCUGCCCGAUCAACUUUUGCUGGUACUUUCCCUGCCUACAAUGGUGACCAUGGGUAAAUGGGAAUCAGGGUUCGAUUCCAGAGAGGGAGCCUGAGAAAUGGAUACCACAUCCAAGGGAGGCAGCAGGCGUGCAAAUUACCCAAUCCCGACUCGGGGAGGUAGUGAUGAAAAAUAACAAUACAGGACUCUUUCGAGGCCGUGUAAUUUUAAUGAGUAGACUUUAAAUCGUUUAACGAGGAUCCAUUGGAGGGCAAGUCUGGUGCCAGCAGCCUUGGUAAUUCCAGCUCCAAUAGCGUAUAUUAAAGUUGCUGCAGUUAAAAAGCUUGUACUUGGAUCUUAGAAUCGAGCUGGCAGUCCGCCGUGAGGCGAGCUACCGCCUGUCCCAGCCCCUGCCUCUCAUUGCCCCCUUCAUGCUCUUGACUGAGUGUCCUGGGGGUCCAAAUCGUUUACUUUAAAAAAAUGUUGUUGGUUUUCGGAACUAGGGCCAUGAUUAAGAGGGAUGGCUGGCAGCAUUAGUAGUGUGCCACUAGAAGUGAAAUUCUUGGACCGGCGCAAGCCGAACCAAAUCAAAAGCAUUUGCCAAGAAGGUUUUCAUUAAUCAAGCACGAAAGUCAGAGGUUCGAAGACGAUCAGAUACUGUUGUAGUUCCGACCAUAAACAAUGCCGACUAGUGAUCUGGCUGCAUUAUUCCCAUGACCCGCCGAGCAGCUUCCAGGAAACCAAAGUCUUUGGGUUCCGGGGAGAGUAUGGUUGCAAAGCUGAAACUUGAAGGAAUUGACGGAAGGGCACCACCAGGAGUGGUGCCUGUGGCUUAAUUUGACUCAACACAGGAAACCUCACCGGGCCCGGACACGGAAAGGAUUGACAGAUUGAUAGCUCUUUCUGGAUUCUGUGGCUGGUGGUGCAUGGCCGUUUUUAGUUGGUGGAGCGAUUUGUCUGGUUAAGUCCGAUAACGAAUGAGGCUCCUCCAUGCUAACUAGUCACGUGACCCCCAGCGGUCAGCGUUCAAGUUCUUAGAGGGACAAGUGGUGUUCAGUCAUACCAGAUCGAGCAAUAACAGGUCUGUGAUGCCCUUAGAUGUCCAGGGCUGAACACACGCUACACUGAAUGGAUCAGCGUGUGUCUACCCUUCGCCCACCGGUGCGGUUAACAUGCUGAACCCUGUUUGUGGUAGGGAUUGGGGAUUGCAAUUAUUUCCCAUGAAUGCAGAAUUCCCAGUAACUGCAGGACAUAAGCUUGCGUUAAGUCUCUGCCCUUUGUACACACCGCCCGUUGCUAAUACCUAUUGGAUGGUUCAGUGAGGUCCUCGGAUCGGCCCGCCAAAUUUUCUGCCAAUUGAAUAGGUUUUAUCAGUGAACAUGUUUCAUAAUGUUGCAUCACUAUAUAUAAGUUAUUAACAAUUCAUC
This 1711-nucleotide ribosomal RNA is filed under the name Ambystoma mexicanum (axolotl). RNAcentral's name for it is "SSU rRNA". It matches the Rfam family "Eukaryotic small subunit ribosomal RNA". The record is from RNAcentral. Lineage: Eukaryota; Metazoa; Chordata; Amphibia; Caudata; Ambystomatidae.